AAGAUCUUAACUCACAAUUGCCUAAAAUGGGCAGACGCGCUAAAAUUGUAAAACAAGUAUAGCUUGCAUAAUUGAGCUUACAAUGGGGUAAAGAAACAGUUCUUAUUUGACAAAAUAAAACAAUCAUUGUAGGCUUCGCACAAGUUAGCAGAGUAAAGAUACGGAUUGUCUAGUAUUUUCUGAAUGAAGACUGCAGAGCUGGAACAUAUUGGUCCCGAGACAAGGACUUAGAGAACUCUCUAUACCUACAUAUAGACUGUCUUAACUGCUACACUUAUGACUAGAAAAAAAAGGUCAGCUUCACUUGAUAGGAGAGGACUAACUCUUGAUAGGAGAGGACUAACUGAAAACCAAAGAAAUAAAUUUAUGUGCACACAAAAGUACCAAAGAAACCUCUAUAUCUCGAAUUGUGAUCCCCUUUCAUGCCCAUAGAAAGAGAAUACAAUUAAGGGUGUGCAUUACAAAUAAUACGAAAAAUAUGAUUGAAAAGAACAAAUCUGUGAUGUUGUGAGAAACAACGAAAUCUAGUAAUUGAUGUGGUUCUGUAGAUGGACUUGUCAAAAUAGCAUAGUUAAGUCAUAUGAAAGGAAACGGCUCAAUCAACAAAACUUCAUGGCAUGCCACAUUUGAUUCAAUCAUUUAGGCCUUGAAAUUGCGUUUUUCCUUCUUUUCCAGAGUCGAUCACUAGACCCAAUUCCAACAUCAUCAUCUAAACUUGUAUUCCCCUUUUGGGGGAAAUAAGGAGCAAAUAUAGUUGAAUUUGCUUAGGAUAUGUUUGGAAUUGAGGUGAUAUGACUUCAAUGCCGCAACUACUGUAAAAGCACUAAAUGUCAAAUAUAAGUGGAUGAAUGAGGGAUGAAUAUUCCCAAAUAAAAAGUAAGUGUUCACCAAACACUUCAGCUGCUGUGCUUUCAAACGUGAGAAGCAAUCUGCCCUAAACAUACCUUCAAUAGAUUUGACCAUAGUUUGUCUUUAAACCCUUUAAUUGACUCAUUCUACCUAUAGACACAAUACAACUGGCAAAGAUUUCAACUUUUGCAGAAUAUAUGCAAGAGUUCUGCAAUUAACAGUGGAACCACAAUCACAGUAGAAAUCUGACCUUACACUCAAAAAGAGCAUUUUAUUAACUAUUUUCUCCCUACGGACCAACAUUAUCAAUUGAUAAAAAGUAAAAAGACUUAGUUCAGAGCUUACCUGAGAACAUUUAGCAUUACUGAUAUGCCAAACUUUCCUCAAUUGAAGAGCCUGAUACCAGAAUUUCUGAACCGAAUCCCUCGAUACAUCUGGUUCACACGGAUCCAAAGCAAGUAAUUUUAACCACCCCAGCAUAUCUGAACCUGCA
Molecule: long non-coding RNA, 1342 nt
Filed under: Citrus sinensis (sweet orange)
Lineage: Eukaryota; Viridiplantae; Streptophyta; Magnoliopsida; Sapindales; Rutaceae
Description: long non-coding RNA (CSIN_LNC002575)
Source: RNAcentral